Molecule: long non-coding RNA, 740 nt
Organism: Lycium ferocissimum
Lineage: Eukaryota; Viridiplantae; Streptophyta; Magnoliopsida; Solanales; Solanaceae
Exons: 3
Source: RefSeq, a predicted model, not a curated record
AUAAAGAAUCCUACCACCUUUAAAAACCUCUCUAAAUAUAUCUUGGGUUAAAUUAUCGUUCAGGUCACCAAAGAACAUUGGUAUUGCUUCGUAUACACACAGAAGCAUAUAAAUAGACACGUGUGGUGAAUUGAGUUGAGCAGAGCAUGGGUUGAAGCCCACGUAUUAUGCGGAUGUGCGUUGGCAAACAAAUCUUUGUAAUGCAAAUUAGAGGUUGUGCUCUUAUGAAUUCACUUAUAUCUCAUUAGGAGUAUUUUUCAAUAUUUACUAAGAGAUCAAGACAUCAAAUACUCUCUUUCUCAAAUUCUAAGAGAUCUAGAGACCUUCCUCAAGAUCAACUCAUGCAGUCGGAAGAUCACACAAUCCUUCACUUGAGAGAUAUGCCACUUAGGCCGUCGAUUGAAGAAAACAGAAAGAGAGAUCAAGAUAAGUUGUUCCACGAGAUCGAUUCGAAGUACUAUCCAACUUUCUUGAAGAUCAAGAACAUCACAAGGAGGCUCACAACAUCUUACAUUGGAGAAAUAGUUGUCCCAGCCCUCAAAUCCCGAAAAACAAUUCAGAAAUAGGAAUCAUGUGAUAAACAAAAUUGUACUCGUAGAAAUUCAUCAAUAAUAUUAUUUUUCGUCAUAUUGAAUUUAUUUGUGAUUGUAGUUAAGUUUUAAGAAUCGAAAUUUGCCGCAAACAUAGAGCAAAAGGGUUUCUUGCAUGAUUUUAGUCUAUGAAUUUCUCCUGUUAUUGCU